RNAcentral lists this ribosomal RNA (497 nucleotides) under uncultured bacterium. RNAcentral describes it as "partial 16S ribosomal RNA". It matches the Rfam family "Bacterial small subunit ribosomal RNA", at positions 28 to 507 of the family's 1533-position model. The record is from RNAcentral.
GAUGAACGCUGGCGGCGUGCCUAAUACAUGCAAGUCGAGCGAACAGACGAGGAGCUCGCUCCUCUGACGUUAGCGGCGGACGGGUGAGUAACACGUGGAUAACCUACCUAUAAGACUGGGAUAACUUCGGGAAACCGGAGCUAAUACCGGAUAAUAUAUUGAACCGCAUGGUUCAAUAGUGAAAGACGGUUUUGCUGUCACUUAUAGAUGGAUCCGCGCCGCAUUAGCUAGUUGGUAAGGUAACGGCUUACCAAGGCGACGAUGCGUAGCCGACCUGAGAGGGUGAUCGGCCACACUGGAACUGAGACACGGUCCAGACUCCUACGGGAGGCAGCAGUAGGGAAUCUUCCGCAAUGGGCGAAAGCCUGACGGAGCAACGCCGCGUGAGUGAUGAAGGUCUUCGGAUCGUAAAACUCUGUUAUUAGGGAAGAACAAAUGUGUAAGUAACUAUACACGUCUUGACGGUACCUAAUCAGAAAGCCACGGCUAACUACGUG